UAAGGAAUAUUGCUCAAUGGGAGAAAUCCUGAAGCAGCAACGCCGCGUGGAGGAUGAAGGGUCUAUGACUUGUAAACUCCUGUAAAGAAGGAAAAAAUUCCCAUUUGAUGGGAGAUGAUGGUACUUCUGGAGUAAGCCCCGGCUAACUACGUGCCAGCAGCCGCGGUAAUACGUAGGGGGCAAGCGUUGUCCGGAUUUACUGGGUGUAAAGGGUGCUCAGGCGGAUUUGUAAGUCAGAGGUGAAAUCUUACAGCUUAACUGUGAAACUGCCUUUGAUACUGCAAGCCUAGAGUAUGGAAGAGAGUGAUUGAAUAUCUGGUGUAGCAGUGAAAUGCGUAGAUAUCAGAUAGAACACCAAUGGCGAAGGCAGUCACUUGGUCCAUUACUGACGCUAAAGCACGAAAGCGUGGGUAACAAACA
RNAcentral lists this ribosomal RNA (420 nucleotides) under uncultured bacterium. Its description in RNAcentral is "bacterial SSU rRNA". It matches the Rfam family "Bacterial small subunit ribosomal RNA", at positions 355 to 774 of the family's 1533-position model. The record is from RNAcentral.